Molecule: ribosomal RNA, 411 nt
Filed under: Triticum aestivum (bread wheat)
Lineage: Eukaryota; Viridiplantae; Streptophyta; Magnoliopsida; Poales; Poaceae
Description: partial small subunit ribosomal RNA
Source: RNAcentral
UUCUUUUGUUUUAUUCCCUUGGGAUCGUGGCAGCGUUUGGGUUUUGAUAAGAAGAAGUUGGAGCGUAGACCAGAGCUGCAUAACUAGCGCCAGCGGCAGCUGCGGUGGUUUCAUAGUAGGUGUUACAGACCGCCAUAGUUCAGACUUCAGGGGGUCGGUAGAAGUAGAGGAGGACACUUCGGGUGGAGUUGAAGCACGGCUUUCUUCUUGAGGCCGUGGAGCAAACAGUGCGUUGACUCCCUAGUGAAGGUACUCAAAUAAGUACGGAGGUACCCGCUUGUGUCCUGUACGAAUUGUUUGUGACAGUUCUUUAACAAACGCUACAGUUUCCGACAGCGUCUCCCCUGGCGACCCCGUUUUCUUCGACCUCGACUUUCGCCAAACGGUGAUGUCUCACUUCACAGUGCCAUC